GAUGAACGCUAGCGGCAGGCCUAAUACAUGCAAGUCGAGGGGUAGAAGAGGCUUGCUUCUUUGAGACCGGCGCACGGGUGCGUAACGCGUAUGCAACCUACCUUCAUCUGGGGGAUAGCCCGGAGAAAUCCGGAUUAAUACCGCAUAAAAUCACAGGAUGGCAUUAUCCAAUGAUCAAACAUUUAUGGGAUGGAGAUGGGCAUGCGUGUCAUUAGCUAGUUGGUGGGGUAACGGCCCACCAAGGCGACGAUGACUAGGGGAUCUGAGAGGAUGGCCCCCCACACUGGUACUGAGACACGGACCAGACUCCUACGGGGGGCAGCAGUAAGGAAUAGUGGUCAAUGGAGGCAACUCUGAACCAGCCAUGCCGCGUGCAGGAAGACUGCCCUAUGGGUUGUAAACUGCUUUUAUUCGGGAAUAAACCUUAUUACGUGUAAUAAGCUGAAUGUACCAAAGGAAUAAGGAUCGGCUAACUCCGUGCCAGCCGCCGCAGUAA
This 496-nucleotide ribosomal RNA is filed under the name uncultured bacterium. RNAcentral's name for it is "partial 16S ribosomal RNA". It matches the Rfam family "Bacterial small subunit ribosomal RNA", at positions 28 to 523 of the family's 1533-position model. The record is from RNAcentral.